UAGUAAUGUAAUGGCUUACAGUCACUGUCAACUAUAAUAUAAGGUAAUUUAAUUGUCAGAGCAUUUGAUGACAGAUUAAACUGUGAUUAAUGGAUCGAGCACACACACACGGCUGUUUUUAUUUGCACAGACAUCUCUUGCUCUGGAUUAUGAAUGUGUGAGCAGCAGGCAGAUGCUUGUUUUAAGGUCUGUUAGUUCUCUGAGCUCAAACACACACACACAGAGCAAUAAGCCGCUGUCCAUUACAGAGCAAUUAUUCAAGCUGGCAUGAGGAUGGAGGCGGAGCUACAGCCGGCCAAUCUCCCACCAGCCCCCUCCACACACACACACACACACACACGCUUGCAUAAUCGCAGUGGAGCGAGAGACAGUCGCACGCUCACUGUGCCGCUCGCAGCAUGGCUGGAUUGUACCGCUCCUGUGCUUGAAGACAGAGAAGCCAGACAAAGGCAGGCGUGAUGGGGCAGCUGUGCUGCUUCCCUCUCUCUCGACCGGAGGAUAAGCUCAAUCUUUUGCAAAGCAGGCAGCGUGCCACUCGGACAAGUGUUAAGAAAGCCCCGGAGGAUGAGGAGUUAGUGAGUCUGAGUAAGCAGCUGGUGGAAGAUGCCGUGUUGCGGGCCGUGCAGCAGUACAUGGAGGAAACUCAACAGAACGGCACCGCGCCGAAAGACGAGGCUCUGCCGGGGGCCGCCGGCAAACUCAACACCACCAAAUGACCGCGUGAGCCCUGAGCCGGACCCUGCGGAGAGCCGCAACACGCCUCCACCUGCCAGGGGGCGCCAGAGCGCAGCGGAGAGCGAUUGAGUUGAGCUGAAGUGGAGCAGAGAGUAAACACAAGCCAAGUGAAGACGCACACAGCACUCGAACUGAACUUUAUUUUCCUGCCUUCCCCCCGUCCUGCAUCACUAUCGGUUUGACUUUAUUUGUGACGGAUCCUUCAGAGAACAAGCACACAGGUUCACACACACACACACACACACACACACAUGCUGCUGUAGUGUCCGGAGGCCGUUGCUUUGGCAUCUUCACAUCUGACAAUCACAGUGAACUGCUCAGAUUGACUGCACAUGACCUGCAGGCCUGAAGCCCGAGCCGUCAGAACAGCUUAUGAACUCUGAAAGUGUUAUGAACACGCUGUUGCGUUUGUGUGUGUGUAACCCUGUCAGAUGAUGAUGUGUGUGUUGUUUGUGCCGUAGGGUGUGUGUUUGCUCAGAGCAGAAUGGAUCGGGAAAGAGAGCGCAGGCGGACGCAGGUAGAGGCCAUAAAGACACUGUUAGCACAGGAAAACAUUCGAG
This is a long non-coding RNA of Sinocyclocheilus rhinocerous, 1295 nucleotides long. RefSeq lists it as uncharacterized. The record is from RefSeq and is a predicted model, not a curated record. Lineage: Eukaryota; Metazoa; Chordata; Actinopteri; Cypriniformes; Cyprinidae. The transcript is spliced from 3 exons.